ACAUAUCCCAUACUGGGCGGUAUUGUCAACAAGAAACUGCUUUUAAAAAGAUGAAUAAUCAGUCCAUGAGUCCAUAGCACUAAAAACACUAAAACAUUUACAGCUUUUGAACUAUCAGGUGUCCGAUUUCGUGUGCACAAGUGAUACUUUAUCCAUGCCAAUACCUCAAGAUGUCAUGAUGUAUUUCAUAAAGACACCAAAAGAUGGAAUUCAUAGUUUAAUUUUCAACUAAAUCAUUAACCAAGAAGAACUCAACCAUGGAAAACAUACAUCACAACAAUAUUUUCCCCAUCAAUGAGAAACUUUUGAGAAAUCAGAGAGGCAGGCAUCUACGACUAACUGAGAAUAAUUCUACAGUAUUUCAAAAGAAGUACUUUUAGUAUUAGAAAUUCGCAGUUGCAAUUCAGCCGAAUAAAUGAAUCCCAUUUGAUAGAAGACACGGAGGAUAUUAUUUUCAAAAGGCUUCCUAAUCUUCAAAAACUUGAAGUCUAUAUCGGACAACUACCAGAUUGUUCAGCAGAGAAGAUUUGUUUUCCAAGAUUGGAUGUCCUUAACGAACUUGAAAAACUCCAUUUAUCUGCUUCUAGGCGUUCAUUCAGUAAAUAUACGCAAUGGCUCUCUCUGACAUCCGAUACACUUUCAAGAAUUGCUAGACUACCCAACCUUCAAGAACUAAUUCUAGAAGACACAAUCAUCGAGGAGGGGAAUGAAUGGAACAUGGAAGAUGUCACCUUCCAGAAUCUCAAAUCUCUAAAA
RNAcentral lists this long non-coding RNA (756 nucleotides) under Solanum tuberosum (potato). RNAcentral's name for it is "long non-coding RNA (STUB_LNC000703)". The record is from RNAcentral. Lineage: Eukaryota; Viridiplantae; Streptophyta; Magnoliopsida; Solanales; Solanaceae.